Long non-coding RNA from Stegodyphus dumicola, 584 nucleotides. The record is from RefSeq and is a predicted model, not a curated record. Lineage: Eukaryota; Metazoa; Arthropoda; Arachnida; Araneae; Eresidae.
AAUAAAAAAAAAAAAAAAAAAAAAGAUGAAAUUUAGAACAUCUAAGUAAAUACUAAUGUAUUUUAUGUCAGAAUUUUACUAGAAAUUUUUCAAUAAUGGGUCAUACAUAAUGAAAUGAAUGUGUUUGAAGCUCCUUUAUAAUGACGUCAUCACAUAACAUGAAAUAUAACAUGUGACAUGGCAUCAUCACAUAACAUGAAAAUCACCCUGUUCUCCCAACUUUCUUGCAAAAAUCUCCCAAUUUUUCAGAUUUCAAGGUUGGCACCUAUAGAAUUACAUAAGCACCAUUGUGUUCUAUGCCAUAUUGCCAUCUCCCCGAAAGUUGGAAAAUUCCUUUUUGAAAAGUCAUUUGGUUUAUUCAUUAAGAAGUUAUUGCAGAACUGUUUGACAAAAGAAAUGAACUCCAGGCUGUUCAGGCAAUUUUGCAAUGACGUGAAGAGAUGAAUAUCCAAGGAGAUGCAAGAAAUGGAAAUAUCAAGAAAUUUAGCUGAAUUAAAAUUAAGAGAACACCAUGGAGAUGUUGUUGAAGCUUUAAUUGAGUUAACAAAUUAAUUUAUUAUUGUAAUAAAGAUUUUUCUACUUUG